GACGAACGCUGGCGGCGUGCCUAAUACAUGCAAGUAGAACGCUGAAGGAGGAGCUUGCUUCUCUGGAUGAGUUGCGGACGGGUGAGUAACGCGUAGGUAACCUGCCUGGUAGCGGGGGAUAACUAUUGGAAACGAUAGCUAAUACCGCAUAAGAGUAGAUGUUGCAUGACAUUUGCUUAAAAGGUGCAAUUGCAUCACUACCAGAUGGACCUGCGUUGUAUUAGCUAGUUGGUGAGGUAACGGCUCACCAAGGCGACGAUACAUAGCCGACCUGAGAGGGUGAUCGGCCACACUGGGACUGAGACACGGCCCAGACUCCUACGGGAGGCAGCAGUAGGGAAUCUUCGGCAAUGGACGGAAGUCUGACCGAGCAACGCCGCGUGAGUGAAGAAGGUUUUCGGAUCGUAAAGCUCUGUUGUAAGAGAAGAACGAGUGUGAGAGUGGAAAGUUCACACUGUGACGGUAUCUUACCAGAAAGGGACGGCUAACUACGUG
RNAcentral lists this ribosomal RNA (495 nucleotides) under uncultured bacterium. Its description in RNAcentral is "partial 16S ribosomal RNA". It matches the Rfam family "Bacterial small subunit ribosomal RNA", at positions 28 to 507 of the family's 1533-position model. The record is from RNAcentral.